AAUCUUCUGUACUCUUUUGAUCCUGUUCAGGGUCAUGGUGGGGCUGGGGCACAUCCCAGCUAACAACAGGAGAAAAGCUCAUCAUGCUACACUCUGGACAGAUCAAAUCCUCUGUACUCUUGAUCCUGUCCAGGGUCACAGUACAGCCGGGGCACAUCCCAGCAAACAGCAGGAGUAAAGCUCAUCAUGCUACWCUCUGGACAGCAUGGUGAAAAUAUUCAGAAGUCACAUGAGAAACCUCAAAAUCAUGCUGUGGAGAACUGUGAGGACAAAAAGAUGCUGUGGUCCAGCAUAGAAGACCAGUCAGGUUUAAUCUGCGUACYGAAGGACAGGGCAGAUGAAAUGAUUCUACGAUAUCAAGYCAUGCAGAAAGUUAACUCCGACCUUGAAGACCAA
Molecule: long non-coding RNA, 396 nt
Organism: Austrofundulus limnaeus
Lineage: Eukaryota; Metazoa; Chordata; Actinopteri; Cyprinodontiformes; Rivulidae
Exons: 3
Source: RefSeq, a predicted model, not a curated record